UCGUUGGGUGCAUCAAAAGUU
RNAcentral lists this non-coding RNA (21 nucleotides) under Rattus norvegicus (Norway rat). The record is from RNAcentral. Lineage: Eukaryota; Metazoa; Chordata; Mammalia; Rodentia; Muridae.